RNAcentral lists this ribosomal RNA (590 nucleotides) under Salmonella enterica subsp. houtenae. RNAcentral describes it as "partial 23S ribosomal RNA". It matches the Rfam family "Bacterial large subunit ribosomal RNA", at positions 1 to 585 of the family's 2925-position model. The record is from RNAcentral. Lineage: Bacteria; Pseudomonadati; Pseudomonadota; Gammaproteobacteria; Enterobacterales; Enterobacteriaceae.
GGGUUGUGAGGUUAAGCGACCAAGCGUACACGGUGGAUGCCCUGGCAGUCAGAGGCGAUGAAGGACGUGCUAAUCUGCGAAAAGCGCCGGUAAGGUGAUAUGAACCGUUAUAGCCGGCGAUGUCCGAAUGGGGAAACCCAGUGUGAUUCGUCACACUAUCAUUAACUGAAUCCAUAGGUUAAUGAGGCGAACCGGGGGAACUGAAACAUCUAAGUACCCCGAGGAAAAGAAAUCAACCGAGAUUCCCCCAGUAGCGGCGAGCGAACGGGGAGGAGCCCAGAGCCUGAAUCAGCAUGUGUGUUAGUGGAAGCGUCUGGAAAGGCGCGCGAUACAGGGUGAGAGCCCCGUACACAAAAGCGCACGUGCUGUGAGCUCGAUGAGUAGGGCGGGACACGUGGUAUCCUGUCUGAAUAUGGGGGGACCAUCCUCCAAGGCUAAAUACUCCUGACUGACCGAUAGUGAACCAGUACCGUGAGGGAAAGGCGAAAAGAACCCCGGCGAGGGGAGUGAAACAGAACCUGAAACCGUGUACGUACAAGCAGUGGGAGCCCCACCACUAAGCCAGUGGUGAACUCCACAUACGCAUCCUU